This 253-nucleotide ribosomal RNA is filed under the name uncultured bacterium. RNAcentral describes it as "partial 16S ribosomal RNA". It matches the Rfam family "Bacterial small subunit ribosomal RNA", at positions 524 to 776 of the family's 1533-position model. The record is from RNAcentral.
UACGUAGGUGGCAAGCGUUGUCCGGAAUUAUUGGGCGUAAAGCGCGCGCAGGCGGUCCUUUAAGUCUGAUGUGAAAGCCCACGGCUCAACCGUGGAGGGUCAUUGGAAACUGGGGGACUUGAGUGCAGGAGAGAAGAGUGGAAUUCCACGUGUAGCGGUGAAAUGCGUAGAGAUCAGGCAGAACACCUGGGGCGAAGGCGGCCAGCUGGGCCGUCCCUGACGCUGAGGCGCGAAGGCGUGGGGAGCGAACGGG